UCCUAAUCCACCUUCGUUUUGCUUCAAAUAGGCAAUUAAAGACGUAGUUUGGGAUGUCUUACUUUCCCCCCUCGGUGUAUAAUAUACUAUUAAAUUUUCCUAAACAAUGCUGUCAGUUUAGUUGGUUAUUGGAAUGACAUAGAUAUUGAGAAGUUUGUGGUAUCUUUAGAUGGCGCUAUUGUAAACUGUGUGUGCUCCGGAUGCCACGUAUCGUUGUAAGGGCACUCACUCUCAUUCUGAAACUCUAAGCUGACACGUGUAUCAGUACUGUUUGUUAAAAAUAAAUAUAUAUAUAGUUAUAUAUGUAUUCAUGGUCUUAAAUAUUAUUUGAUAGUUCACCCAAAAUACACCACAAUUGGUGACGAGGAGAAAACAGAAAAGAAAAUUGGUACGGAAAUAAGUAAUUAAUAAAAAUACAAUUAUAACAAGGUAAAUUGUUGGCGGCAUUUUACAUUAACGUGGCAAAAUAUCGAAAGAAAAGGUUGAAAAGAUGGCGAAGUGGGUAGGAGAGCAAAAGAGAUAUUUAGAAAAUGAACGUGCAGCAAUGAUGAGAGAAAGACAAAAGUUAAAUGGGGAAAAGCAAAAAUUUUCAAAAAGGUGUAUACAAUUGGAGCUAGAGAAGAAACAACUUGAAGAAUUGUGACUGGAGGAACUCAGGUUAACGGAAACGAGGUAAAAUUCGUAACAAAUUACACCAAUUGUGAUGGGCAAAAUAGGUAUAUGAGUGAAUUUAAAUUACAUGAUUGGACCGGUUGGAUUGAACGUUUUGAUCAUUAUGUGGAAAUUAAUAGUGUGAGUGAAAAUAGUAAAAAGUCACUUUUCAUUACAUCUCUAAGUUUAGAAGCAUAUGAACUGUUAAGGAAUUUAUAUGCACCAUCAUCGCCAUCAACAAAACUCUUCACAGAUCUAGUUAAAAUUAUGAAGGAUCAUCUUAAACCGGCCUCAAGUACAAUCACUGAAAGAAUAUCGACAGUUAGAUGAUCGAUGCACUGCGAUUUUUGAGAGAGUUUAGAAUCAAAUAUCCGGGACCAAUUUGUAUGGGGCCUAAAGAGUGGAGCGAUGAAAAAACGACUAUUAGGAGAAAUGAACUUGACAUACACAAGGGCCAUUGAAAUAGCUACAUCCUUUGAAUCAGCAACGAAGGAUGUCCUGAGAAUGGAAAAUUCCACAAUGCAGAAGUUGGAGCCAACAGAUUUUAAUUACAUCAAUAGAGAAAGGAAGAUUCCGACAAAGUUUAACAGGAAGUGUUUCUGUUGCGGUAAAGAUAAUCACGUAUUAAGUGAAUGAAUCGAAUAAAUGAAUUCGGACUUUUCAAGUUAUCAAGAGUUUUAAACUGGUCAGAUGAAAUUAAAUUUGUGGAAGAAGAGGAAAAGAGAGUAAAAAUAAUCGAAGAAUUUCAAGCUGUUUUCUCGGAGACAUUGGGGAAAUGUAAUAAAAAAAAGUUUAAGUUGGAAUUAAAAGAUGAUGUCACACCAAUUUGCUGCAAACCUAGACCGCUGCCUUAUUCCUAGAAAGAGAAGGUAGAAUUAGAAAUUAAACGUUUGGUUAAAAUGAAUAUUUUAAUUCCUGUAACUGAUAGUGAAUGGGCUACUCCAAUAGUUCCUGUUAUGAAAAGCAAUGGUCAAAUUAGAAUUUGUGGAGAUUAUAAAAUCACGUUGAACCAAAGUUUAAAAAGAACAAGCAUCCAAGACCGCGAGUUAUGAAUUUAUUUGCAAAUUUUAAAGGGGUGACUUGUUUUUCAAAAAAAGACUUAGACAGCGCGUAUCAGCAACUAGAGUUAGAUGAAGCCUCAAAAAAAUUAGUAACGAUUGCAACCCAUAUGGGUUUGUUUGCAUCUAACCAAUUAUGCUAUGGAGUUACUCCAGCUCCAGGAUUAUUCCAGAAUUCGAAAAUGUUCUUAAGAACAUUGGUAAUAUAGCUAUUUUCUAUGAUGAUGUUGUGGUUUGGGAAGAAACAUCAGAAAUUCACGAAAAACGUUUAUAGUUAGUUUUAGAGAGACUCAAAGAUUGUGGGUUAACGGUUAGGGCAGAAAAAUGCCAAUUAUACGCACGAGAAGUAGAUUUUUUGGGAUAUCCGUUGAGUAAAAACGGCGUGGGAGUUUCCGAUAAAAAAACAAGUGCAAUUUAAAAGAUACCUGUUCCUAGAAAUCAAAUAGAUUUACGCUCUUUCCUAGGGAUGGUCAAUUAUUAUUCGAAAUUUAUCAGGAACUAUUCGAGAUUCGUAGAGCCGUUAUAUCAAUUACUUAAAAAAGAAUGUGUUUGGAUGUGGUAGAAAGAACACCAAGUCGCAUUUGAUAGGAUUAAGGCAUGUCUACGUUCGCACGAGGUUUUCAUGCAUUACGAUCCAUCGUUGCCAGUCAAAGUUACCUGUGAUGCAUCUCCUUAAGGAGUUGGUGCAGUUAUUGCUCAUGUGGUGGGAAAGGAGCAGAGACCAAUCGCUUUUGCAUCACGGGUAUUGACUGCUACAGAAAAAAACUACUCGCAGAAUGAUAAGGAAUCCCUGGCUAUUAUAUUUGCAGUUGAAACUUUUCACCAAUAUUUAUUUGGUCGAAGUUUUAUAUUGAAGACAGAUCACAAACCAUUAGUUUACAUAUUUGGGUCAAAGAAAGGCAUUCCGAUCAUGGCAGCGAGUAGGUUACAGCGAUGCGCUGUAAUAUUGUUAUAGGGUAUGAUUUUUUUAUUAGAUAUAUUAAAGGAGUCGACAAUAAAACAGCUGAUUUUCUUUCACGGCACCAUAUCAUCCAGCAUCUAAUGGCGCUGCAGAGAAUGCUGUGUGUACGUUCAAAAAGAAGUUGAAGGCUCUAGUCAAAUCGGAGUAUGACCAAGAUGAGGCAUUGGUACGGUAUCUAUUCUACAGCAGAGCCACCCCCCAUGUGACUACUGCGGUGAGUCCCGCCGAGCUUCAGAUCGGGCGUAAAUUUAGAACGCGAUUGGAUUUGAUACGGCCGAUGCUACGAUACGAUAUAGAGUGCAAGAAACUAGCACAACAACGUACUGCACCGGGAAGUCGUGUGAUUCAGUUCGCGAAUGGUACGAAGGUCAUGGCCAAAGAUUACAGGAGCAAUUCCUGGGAGCUGGCAACUAUCAUUGAGCAACUGAGUCCUGUUGCAUAUCUAGUCGAGACCACUAAUAAUCAGUUGUAGAAGCGCCAUGCUGAUCAAAUAAGAACCUGCAGUCAAGGUAUAGAACGACGAACGAGUGAUUUAGCACGCUAUUUGGAGAGACGUGGCUUGUAGAGACAAUAUUCAAGGCUCGGGUGAACCGGUAGCGAGCAUUGACAGCAGUGAGCAGGCACUACCAGGUAUGAACGUUGACGAUAGUCUUCAGGAUCGUACGGAAGUUACAUGGGGUGGGUAGAAAUUGAUAAGUUUCUUUCCAAGGGAACAAACUCUCUAGUUUCUGCCUGCUAAAUUAGUUUUUGACUUCAUUCCAUUCCUGCACGAAUCGCAUUUAUUUAUUGUGAACCUUGUGGUGUAUUUUGGGUGAACUAUCUUAUAAUAUUUAAGACCCUGAAUACGUAUAUAACUAUGUAUAUUUAUUUUUAACAAACAGUACUGAUACACGUGUUAGCUUAGAGGUUCAGAAUGAGAGUGAGUGACCUUAUAAUGAUACGUUGCGACCGGAGCACACACAAUUUACAAUAGCGCCAUCUAAAGAUACCACACUCCUCCCUUGUUAGCCUAGUCCUUACAAAUUUAAACUUUCGCUGCAGGUAUGGCAAAAACCACAGCAGAAGGUAGGACAUCGCAGUCCGUGUGUAUGUUCUAGUUUUUUCUCUUAAGUUGUAGUAUACUAAUGAUCAUUUAUUAAUAAUUAUAAAUAUAUAUUAGACUGAUUCAAAAAAAUCGACUAUUUUUUUUCUCGAAAUCCCCUAUUAAAUAGUUGCAGGCAGGUGAAAUAAGAUGCUUAUGAAAAGAUGAGCUCUUAAUAUUAAUAUUCAGAGGUCGCUCAUCGCAAUAUUCUAUUUCCCUUUUGAAUAACAUGGGAAAAAAGACUUUUAAGUUUAGAAUUUUAUACCUUGGCAAUGACUCAUUACACGGAUAAGCUUAAGAUAUAUUUUUAUAAGGAAUUAUAUACUCUACAAAGAAAGUCUCUUAUCAUUUUUCGAUAAAUUAAUCUGUUCAAAAGUUACUGGGGCUUGAAAUCAAAUUUAUAGUUGAUUUCGAGAUCUUUUUACUUUUCCAGCGAAACUAUUAGACUUAUCACAAAGUGUCAUUUAUUUUUUUUUGCAU
Microplitis demolitor is the source of this 4231-nucleotide RNA transcript. RefSeq lists it as uncharacterized. The transcript is spliced from 2 exons. The record is from RefSeq and is a predicted model, not a curated record. Lineage: Eukaryota; Metazoa; Arthropoda; Insecta; Hymenoptera; Braconidae.